CCCCCCCCCCAUCUGUGGGUUACUCCAGCCAUGUUCUCCUUGCACCUCCUCAUGCGAUUUCCCCUCUGAUACCUGAAGGCAGACGUUGGCUGCAGUUUGUAAUGCAGCAGCAGCCCCAUGGGACACACCAGUCGUUCCUCUGAGGAGCUGAUCUCUCUGAUAGGGACAGCAUUACUUUUCGUUUUGGCUCUGCUGUGCUUCCUGAGCAUCAAGCACAGGAGUGCAGCAGCAGGGUUUGGCAUGCUCUGUCCUCCCUUUGCUUGAGAUCUUUCUAGUCAACUUUUUAUUAAACAAAUUAAAUGUGAUGGGAAUAAACCACAAUUGCUCAUAAUUGACAAUUAGUGUAAAGACUGGAUUGUGUACCACUGACACCAGUGGGGAUAUUACGACCGACAUCAAUAAACAUAGCAUACAGUGUCUACAGAGAGGGCUGCUCUGAGCGUGGCUCCAUCUCUGAAGAAAUGACCACAUUACCAACAAGAAAAAUUAAUCCAUUGGCUUUUGUUUGCAUGCAUUUUGCAGGAGCAAAUCCUGCUUGUUUUCCAUUUCUGUGCUGUGAGAAGCGCAUUGAUUUUUCCUCACUUCUGAUUGUUCACAUUACUGGAUUGCUUUUAAAUAGCUGACAGAGAGAUCAUUCAUUUUCCUGCCCCAACAUAUUUUACAGCACAUUUUUGCUGUAUUUGUAUGUAUGUUUUUCCCAGCAGUUGUACACCAUAUUGAUCCCAUUUACAAGCUGCAGUCCGUGGGUGUGUUAGGAGCCACUCCUCCAAGGGCUUCGUUCCCUUUCCACCCUCCCCAGCAGCUUCACAUCUGCUUUUCAGGGCUUUGAUUGGAAAUUGGAGGCAAGGUUCUAAGACGGCCUCUAAGCCAAUGGUCAGAAAACGCUGUCCCAGCCCAAACACCCCGUGCCAUAGGACACAGUACCGUGCUCACAGCCAGACUGUAGUGCAUAAUCCAACCGGUGAAGGGUUGCAGCCAAGGAGCAGGUAGGAGGCUGCAUUUCUGUCUGAAGGUUAGCAUCAGGAAAACAUGGAGCAGCUGACCGUGGCAGUGCUUAUGCCGUUCCACUCCUGAAGUUUACCUCUAGGGAGUGGCGAAAUGCAAUUUUUUUUACGCUUACAGAUUAGUGACAUUAAAAGCCACAUCUAAAAUAUGCAAACUUGUCCUGCCUGGAAGUUAUGUCGACCUCAGCAGGAAUUGCACAUAUUAAAUACUAUUGCCUAGAAAAGUUAGAAACAUCUUGUCUGUUCAGCAGGACCACGGCUGACCCAGAAAUAGCUCUCAGUGCCUGGGGCAGGAGAUGGCAGGGGAAUAACCAACCACUGGGUUAACUCCGUGCAGAAUACAAACCCUUCAUUAUAUCAUCUUUUUUUUUUCUCUCCUGGCCCAUGCUUUAUCUGCCCUUUGCUUUGAUAGUAGAAAAGCGAACUCUGAGGGAAAGGAUAUUAAUCCCUCAUAGCUAUUCACUCUGGAAAAAUAAUGGGGCCAUUCAGUGCUUGUAGUGAAUGUCACUGAGGUCAGUGAGGGCACUGCAGCUGCCCCUGAGCAGUGCCAUAGCAGCAGCAGUGUGCCAUGGCGGGGAUCUCCCUGCUGUUGGCACUGCGGGGUCCCAGCGCUGCAGCUGCUGCUCCUUCGUCCCGCGAUCAGCGCCUGCACUCUGACAGCUCAGACAGCCUGGAAAAACAACAGCAGCACUUCAUAGGCUUGCUUUACACCUUUGGCGUAGCUCGAGGCUAAGAGAUUUUUUUUAAUGGAGUUUCAGUGUAAAUCCUUUAGUUUCCAGGGCAUUUAGCAUGGGCAUGAAGGCAGCACAAACCUGGCUAGAGCGCAGGCUGUGGGUUUGGAGCAAGGAGUGCUCACUGCAGCACCUGCCACCACCCCGCAGCGCAGGGUGGCGCUCCCUGGGCACCUGCAGGCAUUUAUGGAUUACAGCAUUUAUUUCCUGAGGCGGCUCAUAUGUCUUCCCCUGAGAGCGAUGCAGUCGCGGGGGGAGCACGUUCCUCUGAUCUGUCUCUAUCAGGUCUCGUCCUGCCAGUCUGAGUGAAGCAUCCAGGCCUGACUUGCACAGCACCUUCACUGGAGGAAGAUGGAUUGGGUGUAGGAGUGGUCCCACACGCUCCAGAGGGCUGUUGCCUGUUUCUAGGGUAUUUGCCAGCAGACAGAUUCAAUUUAGUUCAACAACACCAUCCUCAAAAGCAGCUAAACGAAACGAAUGGCUGAUGCAGCACUGCUCACCAGGAGGAGCGAGGUGCUCUGGGUUUACCCACGCUGGGCACAGCGCUGCUCAGUGCCUGCAGCCCUGGGGGCUGACUGCAGGGCCAUGGGCAGCAAACAGUGGUGCUCAUAAUGAGAAUUAAUAAUGAAUUGAUCGCAUUGCUCUCGGUGAAUUAUCUCCAGUAAUCACAUGCAAUUUGCUACUUUAGUGGAUACUCUGAUCGUAAACAGGUCUGGUAGAAUAAAGUUGUGGGAACUGAACCUAAAAGGAGGGAGAAAACGGUCAAGGCUAAUUACAUGAAAUGUUCUAAGCAACAUUUGCACAUAAACGUUUUCAGUGUUUGCCCAGCACUAGCAAAAUGAAUCCCAGACAGCAAAUGUGGGGAAAAUUACCUUCUGACAUGGUACUGCAUCCAGUAUAACUGAGGGUGAAUUUGCAGGUAACUGCCCAUAGUAACAGUGACAUUUGGUGUCCCAAUUUGCUCCUGCCUUCAUUUUUCUGUGCUCACAACACUGCCGGGUUCACGGGGCUGUGCUGAUGCAGGCAGCUGCUCUGCCCAUGGGGUCCUUCGGUGUUUACUGGAGAGCUUUGUGAACAGGGCAGACUUGGGCAGCACUGUUGGGCUGCAGCACUGCUGGGAGCUGCUGAAAUCCGUCCUGCUGCCCAGAGCACACCUCUUCCAGACUGCUAACAGACCCCACUCGAAUUACGUUGUUUUACUUGCAGUCGGUGCUCGCAGUGCCUGCUCGCAUCACCCCCCUCCCCCCCCGCUGUAUGGUGACGGUCUAUGAGUCAGAUUUCACAGCACUGAGAAAAUUAACGCUUCGGAGCAUUUAUCUCCAUUAUUGAUGUUCUGUCAGCAGCAGCACUUCAGGAUUCUCUCCAGAGAAACGAAUGGCGCUGACAAACCCACUGAACUUCUGUUCCCAUCUAAAUAUCUAGAUAAAGGAUGGCAUUUCUGUAUGCAAGAAACAUUAUUUGGUGAUAGCAAACUGUUAUCUGUUUUCCCUGUACCAGGACAUUUGUUAGGGUUUCUUUUUCUGGCUGACAUUCUGAAGUGUGAUUUGGCAGGUGUUAUUUAUGCACGUGUUGGUCUCUUACAUCUCUUUCCACUGAAGUAUUAAGGCAUUCAACUUCCAGUUAGGCCACCGAUUUCCAUUACUUUCAGCUAGAAACGUCUCCUGGAGCCUCGUCAGCUCUGUGUCUGUGUGUGGGUCUGUGCAGCACUGCAUUGCUGCAUGGCUGUCUGUGGCACACAGGAGCACUGAUAGCAGUGGCACUGCUCAGUGAUCGCUGGGGCUGGAGCUGAGGCUGGCUGUGACUGACCCUAUCCUAUCUCACCCCUCACUGCGCCAUGUGCUGCCCUUCUGCUGCUCCUUGGUUUUGUUUUUAACCAGGGCUGUUAAACAAAUCUCCCCAACCAAACUCGCUGUUAGAUGUUCUUAAGUUUGUGAGCAGAGUCUUUCUGGUGGAAGUGCUGCCAGCGCAUUUCCUAUGCAGAAGAAGCAAGUGUGUUUCUUGAAAUAAAAAUGAGGACAGAACGAAAUUAUAAAGAAUUCAAAUAUUCAGUGUUUUGGACAGCUGAAUUUGAAGUAAAUCCACAGGAAGGAUGUAAGCAUUUCCUCAUCCGGCCGCCCGCAGUGCAUCUCAGUGGCCAUGCAGGAGCCUCAGCACAGACACAGCACCCACAGCUCCAGCCAAGGCAGCGGGCUGCCCUGCUGAUGGCCCAGGCAGGUCGGGGUGUUGUAUUGAGUGAUCAGCGAUCUGAGGGCUGUCCUGGCAGAGCCUAUUGCUGAGCCAUGACAGCCACACAUCCACAGGGUGCUGCUGAAUUUUUAAUGGACUUCAGUUUACCAUUGAAAUGCAGCACUGAGCCAACGGCCCUGGCUGCACCCUAGCACACAGCCCAGCACACAGCCCGGCCGUGAUGCUGCCCAGGACCACUCUGCGCUCUGUGAGCCCCACACACUGUCCCCAUGCAGCACCCCGCAGCACACAGCUCACCCCAUCUGCACUGUGCCUUUCCUCGCUGCACACCUUUGGGCUGCACAGAGAGCUCUGCACCCAGGGAGGUGAGGGCAGCUCACAGUGCUGAUGAGUAGGGUUAUGGUAAUGCAGAUUAUGUAAAUGUUCUGGGUUUUGUACCAUUCCUGGUGCCACUCAUGGGAACAAGUGUUUUCUGGUGCGUGAGCAGGCUGCAGAACAGAACCCUGCUCCCUGUUAAAAAUGCUUUGCAGGAACAGAAGCGUCUUUGGAGGUUCACUACUCUAAUACCCAACCAGAGGCUGUGAGCACAGCACGCGCCGCGCAGAAGCCAAAUAACCCUCCAGGAAUUCUUCCUAUUAAAAUAAUUGCUAGGGCAGAAGAGUGCUGCAAACAGCUGCGGUUCAUCCUAUAAACAUAUUCUCCCUCCUUUUGGAGCCUCAGCUUCCAGCGUGUGCCAGAGCCCGUCAGCUGCAGGAGUGGUGGAACAUAUUUCCUUUACAGAAAUGAAACGAUUACUGUUGAAUAAAUAUGUUAUGCAUAGGCCUGAACUAUCCAGUGAGUACUGCAUAAGUAAAGAGGAAAAAAGUGACAGUGUUUCACACCGAAAUGAGCUGAAGCAACAGUUCAUCUGGUAGCAUGAUGGCAGCAGAGCUGUGCUGGCAGCCUGGCAACACCGAGUGUAAUGAAAAAAUCCUUUGGAACCAGUUCAGCUCUGAAUGGCAGCAUCCCGCCUUGGACGUGCCCUCGCUGUGGCUGGGGGGCAGUGGGACACAUGGGGUCCCCAGGGCGAGGUGUGCCCUCCUGCUGCACACCAUCCCCUCACCCACCGCUGUGCACAGGCUCUGGUUUGUUUCAGAGGGCUCUGAGCUGGGGCUGUGCUGGGCUGAACCUAAUCCCCGAAUAUCAGGACGCUUCUCCUGUAAAGCUGUACCUGCAAGGGGCGUGCAGCACGUGCUGCCCUGCAGAACACUGUGUCACAGCUUCAGCGUGGCUGAGAAAACACCACUAUCUGCCAAAAGCGCUUGUGUUGGUUCGUAGUACAAUGGGAGUUGUUGCAGGAGCAGCAGUAAUGUUUGUGUCUGUAGUAUGGAGCCUUCAGUGCACUCAGAAGUGGAAACAGACUUCUGGGGACGGUGAAGAACAGCACUUAGAGCUUGUUGCUGUGGUUUAAAUACAGUCAGAUUGGCCCAGUGCAGGGGAAGUACCAGCUGCUGGGCAGGCGCCUCUUCAGUACCCAGACAGUACUUGUAUAAAGUAUCAUUUGCCUCUUGCACUGUUUCUUUAAUAUUUUGACCACAGGCCUGGACAACAUGCAAUCCAGUCUUGUCUCAUGGACAGACAAGGCUAAGUUGGCUCUCAGCCCUAUGGGAACAUGGGAUUCCCUGAUGUGUUCUGGUUGCAGUGCUGGUGUGAGCCGCGCUCUGAGGUCAGCACAGCCCUUCCUGUGGCUCUGCACCAGGCAGGGGCUGCAGCCUGGGCCGAGGGGAAACAGAGCAUAACAUCAGGGAGAGGCACAGUGGCUGAUGGGUCCAUUUGCCCUCCUUCUGCAUGUUUGGCCAUUGUCUGACAGCUCAGACUCCCGGCAAAGCCAUUUGUUUCUGUAACUCAUGUCCAGAGGGAGCAGAUGAGCAAUGGACACUGCUGCCCCUGGACACGCUGCACUGUUGCCAUCCCCCCACCCAACCCAUCUCUCCCUGCAGCACAGAGCCCUGCUGCCCGCCCAUCAUCGCACUGCACCGCCUGUGCCAUGUUUGCACAGUACUGUUAAUCAGAGGCACAGUUCAGGGCUUCCGAGUGGCACAUCCAGCUACGCACGGAGCAAACACGUUGUAAAACUACUGUGCUGCGGCCACCUUCCUAAUGAAUGCAAAGUGGGAGCGAUCAAUCAGAGUGAGAGCAGUCAGCACUCAGCUCCCUGCAUCUGCAAACGCAAAUUGAAUGAACAAUAAUGAGUGUUAUCUAAUUAGUCCUCACAGCUGCAAUGUUACAGCCCUGUAUAGGACAUACCUUGUUAAAUUUCAUGGUAUAUAUAAUAGAGUGUCUGAGUUAAAAUGAUUGAGAUUCACCAUGUGCAUGCUUAGUACAAUAGAGAUAGGCAGAUUCUCAGUGAUAAAUGUAUUGUCCUCAGCAAAUGGCCUCUGCAUCAGCUAAUGCCAGGCUCACUCCAACAGAAGCUAGUUGGGAGCGAAUCACCAGAGGUAGCACAUGGAUUGGCCCAGGAUUACGGGUAGAUGGGAGCUGGGGUCACCCCCUAGGCAGGAACGCUCCUCCGUGGUGCUCCUCAGAGGACCCUGGGGCUGGACCUGUCCCCGAGGCAGCUCUACUCAAAACCACACCAGGAGUUUGGAUAACAAAGUGCUUUGGGCAGUUCUUUAGAAGGGGGAGGACUUCUUUAAUGAGCUUGGUAUCAUCUGGGGGGAAUUUUAGAGCUGCAGUGGGAAGAUGUAUUUGCACCAAGUGCAACCAUCACAUUGUCUCUUCCUAUGAGAAAAUCAUUAAUAAAAGAUCCAUUCGUUCUUCUCCAGGCAGUUCUUUUGCCACCAUGCACAAGAUGUAUUUUUGGAGUGAGGUGAUAAGUUUGUAGGAUGCAACAUCAGUUUUACAGUAGAGCCGUUGGCAUUAGUGAGAGCAGAAUGGUAACAGAAGCCGUAAAAAUAACAGAUGGAAGACAGAUACAAUAAAGUGGAAGCGCAGGCAAAUUAUAAAACCAUUCAAACUGUUCAUGAAGAUAAAACAAGAAAACAAAAGCAUCUGAAAUCGCGAGGAUUGGGAGUCUGCUGGGGAAAAACCUCUGAGUUUGGAGUUGGUUGUUUGUGGUGGAGACGUUUGCGUUUGGAGGAGCUGAGGGAGGAGCAGUGAUUUGUGCUGCCAAGGGAAGCAUUGCUGCUGCACCGUUUGUCGGAGAGGAUCAUUGGCUGUGUGCGGGCAUAAAGAUGGUGCUUUUUUUCUCAGCCCACACUCCAAAUGUUCAUGUUUGACUUGUGUCAAUGCAGUUACUUUAUUACCAUACUAAAAUAUCAUCCAACCGCAAGAAGUGUGGCAGGAAGAGGGCUCAGCCCGCACUGAGCCAGGAGGCUGCAGCUCGGGACGGCUGCUGGGAUGUGGGCAGAGCCAACAGCUGUGCUGGGGCACCACAGCCAGCAUCCCGUGUGAGCCGGGUGGGCACCGAGAGGUGCGCCACGUGUGAGCCCAGGUCAUGGCAGUGAGCAGAUAAGGGGCGUCCUGAGCCAGAAGGCGUACUGGGCUGAGGUGUUUGUAGCCACAGAAAGGCUGCUGCUCUCUGAGUUAACUGAGUUCCUCUUAAAGCCAUCCAUCCCUCCAGCUGUCACACCUCUCCCGUGUGAUUACACAGCGCCUAUCACUGCACUGCGUGCCCCCUCCAGUGCUCCUUCACAUCACUUAUCCAAAUUCUCACGGCAGGUUCCCACAACAUCUGGUGCUUAUUAAUGCCUUGGGUGCUGAAGAUGCUGGCCCGGAGCCUGGUUUCUUUUCCUCAGUGCCUUUAUGAGUGUGUUAAGCAGGGGGAAAUGAGAUCAGAAUAUUUUCUAAGCAUUCUAUCCAGAAGGUAAACGAAGACCCUCAGUGCAUUUCCAUCUGCAGGUGUGACAGUUCUUAACCCAAUCUCACGUCUUUGGCAGAAGGGAGGAAUGGGUUCAUGGGAGCUCUGUGUGCGCAGUGCGUGGUGAUGCACGGUGAGCAGCUGUUUGCAUUGAGGGCUCUGCGGGGCCAGGCUGCCAGCAUGGGGCGGGAGGGGGGUGCUCUGCCCAGCAGUGGGUGUGGGCACGUGGGGCAGGGGAAGCAAACGGAACACACCCUGGCACCUCGAUUAAUUUAGGUAUCACUGUAAAACCCUGAGCGGUAUAACUGACUCUUUGUUCUCAGAGAUUGGCAUUAUUACUCUAAAUUUCAUAAUUCUUCCUAAUAAAGAGCUCACUUCAGGAUCACAGCAUUUGGAAUAUUGCACAGAAACAUUUGGAUCAUUGCAGCGGUGCUGGGAGUUAUAGUAACCAUUAUGUUGUACUGUGAAAUGGGUGCAAUUAAGAGAGACUUCAGAGUGAGAUGUGGGAAAAGAUGAGUGCUUGGGGGGGGGGGGCUGAAAGGGAUGAGAGAGAAAAGGCAGCCCAUUUACUCCCCCUGAGCUCAGUGCCCCCGCAGCCCUCAGGGCACACUCAGUGUGUGCAGUCUGUGCCAGGGACAGUUGGGCAGACAGCGCAGCAAUGUGAGCCCUGCAGGACAGGGGGGGGUGGGGGGGGGGGAAAUGGUCCCCACAUUCUGCCCCACGCCCUUCUGAUGGCACAGAGGUGUGUGAGCACAGCCGCCAGCAGGGAAACCCACGCUGAGAGAGCUCCCCGUGCCCUGGCACAGCCGCACAGCACACAGCUGCUGCUGCACAGCACAGACGCUCCCUGAGCCUGCGUCCCCCCGAGCGAUGAGCGACCAAAGCUUUCAGUGACCUCUUUGUAGCUGUGAUUUCCUGCACUUCUGCACAGAAGCGGUCUGAGCAGGAGAAGCCAUUGGCCCCCUUGUGAUGCUGCAGAGCUGCUUGUGUUUUUCCUUCUCUCUUUGGCUGGGAUUACAAGGAUAGCACUGCUUCCAGUGCUAUCCUUUUCUGUGGUUCUUAAAGCACUUCAGUGUAUUUUACAUUUAAAUAGAAAAGAGGCCUUCUUGAAACAAAUCUAUUCCAGUUGGCUUUGCACAUUGAUGAUAAAAGAACACGGUUCAAUUUUUCCUCUCAUUGUGAGCAGUGUCUCAUUAGCCGUGCUCUUAUUGCUGCUCAUAUCCGUCACGAUUUGUGUCAGCAGAGCGCUUGCACGGACGGACAGCUUAUCAUCAGCUCUAAGGAAGGGACAGAACACAGGAAUGGUGCUAAAAAAGGGAAAGGUAAUUAGUGCCGGUGCCAGCACAUAAACAAAGCUUGGCAUUCCCACUUUCGAAAUCCAAAUGAACCCGCAUCUUGGGGCUGCAGCCCUGCAUGCACCACUGCCGCACGGCCCCGCAGUGCAGACACUGUGCGGUGCUGCGGGUGGCUGUGGGAAUCACAGGAACCCAAACAGCCGCUUUUUCAGCCCCCACCAGAAUGUUAUCACCCUGAUGUGAUCCUUCUGCAGAGCAAUGAGGCCCGGUUACGUGAUGCAUGAAGUGGGAGUAGGAGUGAGGGUCAGGGAGGACAGAUUAAAGCGAUCUGGGACUCUCUAAGUGAGGAGAAAAGGGGACCAGAGGGAGCUGUGAUAGCUCUGUACAAAUACUGAGAGGGACAUAAUGUGGAGGACAGGGACCCAUUACUCUAAUUAGUGAAUGAGAACCGAAUGAGAAAUAAUGGCUCACACUGUAGCAGCGCAGCUGUGAUUGAAAGGUUCUGAGCAGAACCCAGGGGGCCCAUGGAGCUCCUGGCUGUGCGUAGGGCCAGAGCUGCUCACAAAGCAUGGGGAGCAGCCCUGCACAGGGCAGCUGCUGUGCUCUGCGAUGUGGCUCGGAGCGCUGCCUGGCCCUCACCUGGUCCAGGUACAGAGAAACUCUAUCUGACUGCAGCCAGUGCCCCACAGCUUUGGGUAGGAGAGGUAUGGAGCUGCUGCAGGGCUGAGUGCCUCAGUGCCUUUGAGAAGCAGUGAGCAACUGUUUAUAUUGUCUGAGAGCAGAGCAAUUAGCCUGUGUCACUACCGUGCAGUGUUUCUUUUGCCAUAAUAUGGAGCUUUUAAGAAGAAAAUUAAACCUGCCAAGCACCAUUACGUUAUGAGCACAGUAAGCAGCAGCCAUGCUGAUCUCAGCAGUGUGCACUGGGUGAUCUUUUUGCUGGGUUCGUGUGUACGUGGUGCUUCCUGUUCAACUAUGGAAAAUGUUCCCUUCCCUGUGCUGAUCCCCACUAUCUGCAGGUGACAUGAUAUGCACAGGGCUGCAGCCUUCCCAUCAUAUGCGUUGUACUGAUGUGGAGGUGCACGUGGGAAUAGCUUUGAAAGCUGAGCAGGAAACUCUCAGAGUGCAUUAGCGGUUGGUGAGUUGGGCACAACAACCACUCAGGAAAUUAAAAGGAGGGUGAGAUUUUGAGGUGAUAAAACAUUAAAAUAUGAAACUUGCAUUUGAGUCAGAUCCAGAGUUAAUUUUAUCUUUUCAAGCUGCAGCUUAGGAGAACCUUGGUUCCAUGCCAGCAAGCGAAAUCUUUGGGCUAUUGCAAAGGAGAGGAGGAGGAACCUGGUGGUUUUGGAGUGGGGUUCUCGGAGGUGCACUGAUGGAUGAGCAGUGCUGAACACAAUCACAGGGCAGAGGCACUGACAGUGCAGCUGAAAGCCGCGGGCAGGGGCUGCUGCACUGCUGGGUUUGCUCACCAUCUUUUGUGGCUGUUACAGAGGUUCAGAUUUCAUCACAGACAUUCAGUGGAAAGAGAUGAUAAAAGCCAAAGGGGAAAGGCAAGAAAACACCAUUUAAGAACUAAAUGCAAAAUUACGAAGCCUCAGCUUGCUUCAGCAGGAGAGAUUUUUAUGCAUUUUUUGGCAUUUACAAAUCCUUUGUGAAAAGGUCACCCCGUACUUGGAAGCUUAUUAAUACUGAAGAUGGCCUAGAAAAUGUCAUGUCUUUUUACCAUGAUAUUUACACAAAAAAGAGCACUGAGCACAUGCAAGCUCCCAGCAGGAUGGUGCAGUGGGGCCGGGGCACAGCUUGGCCGGGGGCUGCGUUCCCGCACACCUCACUCUGCUGCCCAUCCCAUGCAGGGGCUGCUCUGAUCUCUGGGCACUGAGGGCUGAGCUGGGGGCUGCAGGCAGCACGGCGCUGCCCAUUACCCACCAUGGGCUGUGCAGAGACAAUGGCUUGUCUUCAUCACCAUCACCACGUAAUAAUCGUUACAUGAAACAGACCCAAAAUAGGCCUCUCUAUUUAGCAUUACCAUGAUUAAUUUCUCCUCUUUUUUUGCAGCAAGAAGACAAACGAUAAAAGGUUUUUCUCUCUGCUCUCUUCCUCCUUAGCAAGCAGCCAACAUGCAGCCCUGUGGGCUCAGAGAACAACAAGAACAAAUCACUGGCUUCUUCCAGAGAUGGAUUAUUCCCCCACAGACAAUACAUUGAUCCUAACAGACUUCCAUCUGUUUUCUGGACUUUCAAAGAACAGCUAUUACCAUUCAAUUAUCAUGCUUCAUUAAACAGGCUAAAACCUGUAACACGCACAGGUUUGGUUGGAACAAAUGUUCAGCAGCUGUGCUGUGCUGUGCCAUGCCGUGCCAUGCUGUGUCGUGCCGUCCUGUGUUGUGCUGUGUCGUGCCAUGCUGUGCCGUGCUGUGCUGUCCUUGCUAUGCUCCAGGAUUGAGGUUGUGCUCAGAACAGCUCUGUCAGCACCAUGUAUCUGGUGCAGCUGUGUGCUGCUCACGCAUGUGACACUUAAUAACAAUUAUGUAUAAAGUUCUAUGACUCAGGUAGUUAAUUAUCAAAGCAGAAAUAAAGAACAAUGAACUUUUCCCAGGAUUACUGCAGCCUUUAGAGCCAGGCUGUCUUCUGCCAUUACCUGUUCUAAUUAACCGCAGCCCUCAGCACUUCACGGUGCACCGGAGCCAUGAGCUGGAGCCCAAUGGGAUGCGUGUGCUGCACUGUGAGCACACACAGCAGCAGUACUCUGCCCUGUCUGAGCCGUGUCCCAUCUCCCAUGGAUGUUUUUGCAGUACACAGAAUAAAGCUGCACCAACAUGAGACCGUUUGAGAGGACCAGUUGAAAAGAACAUCCUUAUUCCUUUGUUCAAAACCUAUGCUUUGGCUUCUGGGUCAAAAAGUCAUUUUGCAUUUAUUAUUUGUACCAGAAAUUGAGCAUUCUUUGCAGCACUGCAGAUGGAGAAAAGGGAAAAAAUGUCAUCGCUCAGCAGCACGUAGGCAGCCUGAGCGUGUGAUUACACAACACAGAAACAGUGCAUUCUGUGCCUAAUGCAAAAUUAAACAUUAUGAAACAAUCUGAGUGAUGUGUUUGGUCCCAGGAGAGAUUGGUUCAGCAACACAGACAGCGAUGCUCAUCUCCCACCACCGCACCAGGCGUCAGCAGUGGGAACACAACUCGUGUGCUCCAAUGAGCAGUGAAACCAGGCUCUGCCUCCACCUCCCAGCAACUGCACUUCUCCUUUUUUUCCAUGGGAAUUUUCCAUUCUGAUUAGAUUUCCUCUUUAUUGGUACCUUCCCUCUAAUUCUGUCUCUCUGGCCCAUUCUCCCCGCCAUUAAACUUGCACUUUUAUUGUUCAUUUUCUUCAUUCACCAAGGGCAACAUGCAUUGCACACGUGCUGGGGAAAGAGGAAUGGGGAAAGGAGGAGAAACAGAAGAGAAAAUAGAGACAGCUGGAAAAGCAUUGACAUGGAACAUACUGGAAACAUGCUGGGUUUCAACAUGCACUUAAGAACCCAUGAGAUGACCACACCACUAAGACCAGCUUCAUUGGUUGGAAAGUCCCUUUCACAAAGAAGAAAAAAUUUCCAUUCUGCUGCAGAUCUGUGAAUUCUGAGCUCUGUUCCUGAGGGCUGCACAGGGGGGCAGUGCUGGGCUCUGUGCCACCAUAUAUGCGAGGAGCAGCAGUGCUGUGCUGCAGGACCAGGCCGCCCCGAACCGCUGCGUCCCAUCACUGCGCUGCACUGCCUGCAUCUGCAUAUACAAUCCAAUGAAAAAUGUAUGACUGCUAAACACACACAUAUGUCAUAAUUAAACACAAACAAUCAUUUCCAAAUAACUGUUUACCACGUUGCAUAUGCCGUUCUGCAAUUAAUCUCAAUGACUCUUUCUCCUUGCACAUGAGCAUGGAGGCAGCUCCUGGCACAGUGCUGGCGGCACGUGGGGCUGCACUGACAGCACUCCCUGCCUGAUGCACAGGUUGGAGCUCUGUCAGUGUCAGACAGAUGCCUUGUUCUCUGCUGUUUGUUCUGAGAAAGCUUCAGAGAGAGAUUUAUAGGAUGAGUGCUGUUCAAACAUUAAUCCCAGCGCAGGGCCCACGUGGUGCCCACUCUGGCAGCACUCUGCAGAACAUGCCCCAUUCUGUGCCUGCUCCCACACACACAUUGGUCACCCUCUGAGGAUGGCUGUGGGGUUGGGGACAGAGCUCAGCAUGGGGCGGGCACAGAGCUGUGUUUCAUGCAUGACUCUGCAGUGGGGCAGCACUGGGCACUGCUGGUACUGCAUUCAGCACCAUGCAGCCCCGAGCCCCAUGCAGAUGGGGCAGGUGGAGGCACAGGGAUCCUCCUGCAGACCUGGGCUUGAUGCCCUCCUACGAAGCCAAACUCUUUAGAAGUGGUUCAUGUUGUGUAUGUUCAGUUUUUUUGCUAGCACUACUGGCCUGACAGUCUCAGCUGUUUAUUUUCAGGAUGUUUACCCAAUCUUUGCUGUAAACAAAUUUUCAGAGGGCAAAAGCAUAGCAUGAAAAUCAUCAAAAAUAUCUACACCAUAAAGACUGUCAGUUCAGGAAAUUCAGUUAGGAAAAAAGAGGAGAGGUGAAAGAAGCAGGAGAAGCUGCAGUGAGGGACCACCACUCUCACUGCCCUGAGCCCCCUCCCUGUUGCACACCAUCCCAGACCCUCAGCCUGCAGCAGAGCUGUUCCCAUUGUCUGGAAACCCCUGGUGCAAUGCCAGCAUUGAAGUGACCCCUGUAAUGGGAAUCACGUGAGGACAGCGAGCAGACAGCACAAGCAGAGAAAGUGGAUUUCAUUUCUAUGUAUCACCUUCUAUUAGCAUCAGAGGAAGGUCUCUAUUACACCCACUGCUUGUCUGCAGAGAGGGCACACUCAGCAAAUCGAAACUGAGAUGUGUCUUUAGAGGAGAUGGACACGGCUGCCAGCCAUCACUCCCUGCCUGCUGAGAUGCACGGCUCUGCACACAGCUCUGCUGCAGCCCACGAGGACGGAGCUCCGCGUGGUGCUUUGCGCACAAACAGUGGGCUGUGCCCCCGGAGCGGCCCUCCCAAAUCCCAGCAGCCCUCCUGCAUCCCAACAGCCUGCUAAUCGCUAAUGAACAACAAGUUUCCUUGCUAGCAUGUAAACGAUGAAAUUUGGCUUUUAUGCUGCAUAAUAUGACUCCAUCAGCUACCUUGUGAGAUGGGGAUUUUCCAGGGUAUGCCAAUGUUCCAAUUAUCAGCAAAUUGCCAGCUCUUGGAACAGAGCUGUGUAUUAACUCCAAGCAAGUGAGCGUUCACUGAAUUACUUGGAACAGUAAACAGCUCUUCCUGGGGUGUGUAAAUAAUCCCAGGGUAUCAAGGAAAUGAGAAAAAGAGAUUUAAAAACUAAUUUGCCUGGGUACAGUAAAAAUUUAAAAGGAAAUCAGUAAACGAAGGGUUAUCCAUGCAACAGUUAUUUUGAUUGUUAUGAGCUUGGUUUGCAAACACCUUCCAGCCCAGCGCUGACCCUUUGCUCAGUGCCACCCCACGGGGCAGGGGCAGCCCUGGGCUCAGCGCCGUGCCAGGAUGCGGCCCCCCCGGGUGGGGGGCGGCUGAUGGCUGAUGGGCUGUUGAGGAGCAGAAGGCUCAGCGCAUGGGCAGGGCUCUGGGGCUUUCUUCCCACCUGUUUUAAAUUUAAAAUUCAGUUCCCUCAUCUCUGAGCUAAUGCACUAAUGGACAGUCACCAUUACCCAACUUCUGACCUAAUGGGCACAGUAAAUAAGUGAAAGGCUCAUAAAAUCAGAUUUACUGAGCAUCCUUCCUUUUGCUGUCCAUUAACUGAAACUAUUCAUUAGGUUAAGAAUACCUGGGGUACAGAGCUGUGUUCUCUUGCAUUAACGCUGUCACACUGACGUCUCAGCACCCAAGAACUCACAGAGGCCGUUGGGUCGCAGCCCCCAGCAUAUCCCCUGUGGGCACGGGGCGAGCACAGGGCUGGGGGAGCAGGGGCUGCAGGAACCCCAUAAAUCGCUGCAGUUGUCUCCUCUGCCAGAGCCUAUCCCUGCACCGGGAGCCCCAGCCACGUCCCGGCUGUCGGCCUCUGGAAACAGGGGCACACCAACCCACUGUGUGCCAUAAAAACCCUCCUCCUUUAAAAGAAUUGAAAGCUCUGCAUCCUGGGCUGACACAGGCAGGGAAGCCCUGAUGCUGUGCACGCAGACACUGAAACCCCAUGCUAUGAAACCAGCGGGUGCCUGAGGUGCCACGGGAGCACCCAGAAGCAUUAGAGUGCCUAAGAUUUAAUUCUGCCAUGACACCUCCUUGGAAUCGCACUGCUAAUUGAUCAAAUUUUGCCUGCCUGUUACUUAAACUUUCAAUAAAAUGUAGAUUAGUGGGAGGUGUGAUUCUCUGGGCAGAAUGCAGCCUCCCACCACCAUGGCAGGUACUGAAUAGCAAUGCCCUGUGCACAGCAUCCAACCUGUGAGCACUAAACUAAUCACAGAGGUGCACUGAUUCCUUAACUGCUUGAUGGGAUUUCCUCUGCAGUUCCACCCCCCAGCUGUCCCCCAUACCUGGACAAGGCACACGGUAUGCAAAAGGGAUGGCACAGAGCGCAGCCGCUGCACCGCACACGGCCAUGUGCUGUGGGCAGAGCUGUGUGCCCGCACUCACGUUGGCACUCACAAGAGCAGGACUGCCCUUCUAUGUGCCCCUUAUAGUCAUGUUUUCAGCAAAUUCACCUCUUGCCUGACAAAGACCUCUUCCAUCAUGCAGAAUUAAAACCAAAAAGGGGCACUAAUGAGAGGAGGAACAAGGAGGGAAGCAGCAGCUACUUUGUAUUCCUUCAGCAGUUCUGUUUGUUGUGCAGCGCUAAAUUAACUCCCAUUAAUUCAUCAUGAAAACCAACCUUAGAGAACAGGAUGGAACUUGCAUUUUCUGCUCCUGAAUUAAUGUUGCAUGGAAGCACUUUAUUUUAAGAAUAAUUAAUGAUUACAGUGAAAAAAGUCUUCUAAAGAAUCUGAAGUGUGUCAGUGGUAAAUGGCCACCAUCUCUGCUCGGAGCACUGCCUAUCGCACAGCCAGGGAAUCCCACAGCCGCGCCUCAGCUUCCCAUCCUCCUGUACCUCUGCGCACAGAGGGCCAAGCUGGGUGCUGGCCUCACGCCGGCAGCAGAUCCGGCUGCAAUGGGUGCCGGCUCCAUGCAGACGCCUUUGGGCAUCUCUCCCGGAACGGCUCAUUGUGCUACUUCUACAUUUGCUUCCUCCACCACCACUUAAAAGUUAAUCAUAUCCUCAGUGACUCACGCAGGAAAAUGCUUAGCUGGAUGGCAGCUGAAUUCAGAACAACAGGGCCACAAACACAGCCCAGCAAGCGGCUGUUUGUUCAUUCCAGCAUUUUCUCAAGCAAAUUCCUCAUGUAGUGCUGAGAAAUGAUGCAAAGAAUGCACCAUCCCCAGCACUGUGUGGGAUUUGCUGCCAAUGCUCACUGCACACGCUGACACCUCCCGGCUCACACAGAGAAGCCAACAAUCCACAUCUCACAGCUUGGGCAGCCCACAGAGGGUGCAGCUCACAGCCAUACCCAGCCCUCACAGCACACACAGCUCUGGGAGCACGGAGGGCAGUGGGAACGCACUGCUGCUCCCAAGGGAGGGGAAAAGGGGCUGCGAACAGCAGGAGGACACAGGGGGAGGACAAAUGGAGUCACUUCUAAGUGCUGCUUUCCUGGUGUUUCCCUGAAAGGCCUGACUACCUGUGGAAAAACUGAAGAUGAAAUAAGGAAAAGAUUUAUUGAGUCUCAAAGCCUCCAGUUAAAAUUAAAUGCAGUGAGAAAAGUGGCUUUCCACAUCUAAUUGUCUUUUCCCCAGCACCUAUGUGUCAGUCUCCUCUAAAAGCCUAUUAAUUCUGUAAUUUAGUGCCAGCUGGAGCUGCAGACAGACAAAACCACCACUGCAUUUUGCUCCCAAUUCAUUGACUACCUGUCAUCAGGCAUAAGCGUUAGGGUGCUCUCUCCUUGAAGACUCCAAAUACUAAAAAUUAAAAACUUUUUAUAGGCUGUUUAAUAAAAAAUGUGCUGGCACAUCAGUUAAUAGAAUGGAUUCUGUGACACUCUGUGUUAGGAUUUUAAUUACGGCUAAAAAUAACCCAGCAUGUCAGGAGAGACACAGAGAUCCUUACCCCAGCACGGCGGGGGUCGGCCCAGAGGGUUCCCACAGUGAGACAUCAUUUAUUUGCUUAGCUGUGAGUUCAGAGUUUGCUCUGAAAUUAGACAGAGUUGGUAAUGGAGACAGCAAUGGGAGGAAGGGCUGGAAAUGGAGGCAGCAAUGGGAAGGCAGGCCAGUAUGUACACUUCUCACUGCCACUGUGCAGCAGGUCCUUGCCAACUGCAUCGAGCAGCACAGCAGGGACAGCACUGCAAGGAGCAGCUCCUGGGGCUGGGAAGGACCUCUGCACUCCUACCCUGCUCACCAGCUGCUGUUCCUCCUGCACCAUUUCUGAUCAACCAGGAUGCAAUUUCCCCAUUUCCCCCUGCAACUUAAGCAGAAGCUCAUAGGAACUUUUCCAUUACCUUGCCAGCUGCUCCAGCAUCCAGACUUGCUGUAAACUAGUGCAGGCUUUUAUAGGUGGCACAAUCCAAACUUUGAACCCAUUUGCCUAUUCUGAGGUGUUUUAAGGAGUGCCUCAUUUUUGUUCCUCAAGCAAGACUUCUACAUAGCUGAAGUUCUCCCCCACUCACCUGUUGCUGAGCUCCGCCUGGAGAGGUGCAGCAGCACCAAGAACUGCAGCUGCCUGCAGGCAGCCCCAGCACUGCACACAGUGCAGCUCCCUGCAGGCUGCCCGCCCAAGCUGUUCCUCACCUCUCCGGAUGAGCUGUUAGGUAUUUAGGGAAACAGUUUCUCCUUGGCACAGCUUAAACCAAGCAGUCAUCUAAUUUCCUCUAGAGAAAUGUGCUGGAAAAAUCAGUAAGAUAAAUCUAUCAUUAUAAAUAGCAAUAAACACCUCCUCUAGCAUAGCUGCAUAUUUAGCAGAAGUAUCUGAGUAGUGAUGGUGCAGAUCCACAGUAAAACCCACGAUGGCCAUAGCUCAGAGCUGAGCACAGGACCCACACCUCUGUGCAGAACAUCGGCACAGCCCUGAGAAUGCUCUGCAGGAACUGCUGGGCUGCAGCCCCACCACUGCCACGAGGCAAAAUCUGCAGACACACAGGCACCAAACCCACACUUGUACUCAGAACCAAUGCAAUUCCCACUUCCAGCAUCCAGCUGGAACCCACUGUGCGCCUGCAGGUGGAGGAAUGCACUCUGUUCUCAUGCAAAACCUUGCUGUUUGCAAGCAAAACAGCUGAGAACCGCAUCACUGUUGGACAGGCACAGCUCCUCCUGAAAAUGUUCACUGAUGCAGAGCCCCGUGUGCAGGACAGCACUGCAGAACCCCCGCCUCCACACACACACACACACACACACACACACACACACACGGUGAGGACAUCGUUAUCCCCUGCCCAAGUUCUUCCAUUUGUCACAGAAUUCAGCACACUGCAUAACACACACUUUUCAAGUUAAGCAUCAAAACAGUGAAUACAAAGGAGGAAGGAAGCGUUCACUUGCUGAAGGAGAAUUACUAAGAGCACACUGUUGUAUUAUAAUGCAUCUCCUACUACUACACCAUUUGUAUUAAUGUAUUGGAGGCAUCUACAAAGAAAAACCACAGUUUGGUUCAGAAUGAAGAGCACGGAGAUGUCUGCAAAGCACCGCAGGCCACACGCAGCACCAGCUCCAGCAGCAGCCUGGGGGCUCCCAGCCCUCCCCAGAUAUUGGCCUGCAGGCUGCAUGCAGGAGCUGUGCAUUGGGGGGAGGAGGAGAGCAGCCCCAGUAUUUCUUAGGGCAUCCCCUCAAUGUCCUGUUUGCUCAGCUCUAAGGGACACAGCAGCACCCCGCUGCCAGGCGGCACCGCAGGCAUGAGCCUGGACACGGGCACUGCCCACCCCAUCCUGAGAUCCUGCAGGAAGAAUUAAUUAGUGCGGAUGAUAAAGCACUGUGGGGAAGGAGAAUCAAGGUUAAUAAUGGAUAUUAAUAAAAUAUCAGCAAGGAAAAAUGAGUGGUUGUGUCCCAGCUAAGCCAUCUCCAUGAGUGCAAUACGUCCCUGUCGCUGUAAGUGGUUAUUUCUUGAUAGAUCAGGAGGGGGAAAUAAUGGAGAGGAAAUAAUGCUGCGAGAUUGCAGCUCCACGUGCUGCUCUGCUCAGUGCUCUGCUGGUGACAAAGCUGGUGCCACAGCAGGAGCCAACGUGGCAGCUGGGAGCAGUAAUUAUCCUCGAAGCCAUUACUGACGUGUUUGAGGGGGGCUCCAGGCAGGUGCAAUAUUGCCUGCAAUGGAGCAGGGCAUUCUGCUGGCAGUCACCUUCCCACGGGCACCACGCAGCACACCCAGCGCUGGUGCCAUCCCAUGCCCUGAGCUGUGCCACCCCGGGCAGACAGGGGCAUCCCAGGCUCAGUGGGCAGCAGCACCAUGCAAUGUGGAGAGCCCACAGAGAUGACUGUAAAAACCACAGCACUUAAAAUGUAAACUUGAAUAGAACACAGGCUGUAAUGAAUAAUAUAUGCAGGCAGAAGGAUCUUCCCUCAGCACAGAGCUACUCUUACUGCCAUUCACUUGUACUAUGCUUUAUUCCCAAAGACCAGGCUUGGGGAAGGAGAUGCUGACAUGCUGCCAGUUGUCAUCUUGCCCCAAAAUGUGACCCAGAUGUUUCUUCAUCACCCCCAAAUCCUUCAUUAUCUAUCACUCCUGCGAGGCUCCUCCCCGCUUGGUGCAGCUCCAUCCCCACACAGCAUCACUCGUCCAUGAGCCAAGCAGUGCCCAGGGAAGCCCCGUAGGCACAAGACAGCCCUCUGACUUCAACUAAGGACUGAUAUUCUCACCAGGGCCAGGAUGUGAAGGGCAGUAAUAAAAGGAACAACAACAACAAAAACAUCAAGUUCAUUCAGAGCUGAACAAAACACUUUUCAUCCACUGAAGCCAUCAGAAGGGAAUGGAAAUUCAACUCACCCUUUUCCAUCUCCCAGAACAAGAGCAUUGGACAAGGGGAAAUGGUUCAAACUGAAAGAGGAGAGAUUUAGAUUGAAUAUAAGGAAGUUCUUUACAGUAAGGGUGGUGAGGCACUGCAUAGGCUGCCCAGAGAAGGGGUGGUGUCCCAUCCCUUCAGACAGCUGAGGCGAGGCUGGAGGGGCUCUGAGCACUGAUGGAGCUGCGGGUGUCCCUGCACACUGUGGGGCAGUGGGACCCGAUGGCCUUUAAAGGCCCCUUUAACUCACGUCCAUGGCUCUGUGGUUCUGUGAGAGCCCUGGUCCAGGAUGUUCUGCACAGAGGAAGCCCCAGAAGUGGUCCUGAAGUGCAGCACUGCACGCAGUGCAAGCUGCUGGCUCCUGCUCCACAAAACAAGGCGUGCAUUUAUAAACAGUAAUCCCUCCACAAAGAGAAACCUGUGGUGUUCCAUGAUUUGUAUCGAUCCAUGUCACUCCAAAGCUUCUCACCACAUACUCUUUUAAUAACUCAGCAGCAAGAUGAAAAGCUGCUUUCCUGCUGCCCGAGGAAGGUUAAUGCAUUGUAAGGGAGAAAGUAUUUGCACUUAAUGGGUGAAUUCUAAAAGCUCUGCCGCAUUUCUUGAAGGCCACUUCUGGAAAGUUGAUUCCCAUACAGAGAGCUAUUGCUACUUAUAACUCAGCUGUGCAGCACUGCAGGACUGCCCCGAGGGAGCGCAGGGCGGGAGCUGCACCGCCAGGAACGGACCUUCACAGCACAGCAGCACAGAGGGGCACAGCGAUGGGCUCCGACCCACACCGGGACGGCAGUGCGGCACGGAGCAGUGCCUGCAGGACGGACACACCGCGGCUGCAAGGAGAGAACUCCAGCAAAAAAGGGCUCUGCACAAAGAUGGCCAUAAAUCUCAAUGUGUUUACAACAGAAGACUGACCAGAAGAGUUUAUUAAAUCUAUAAAGGAUCUGAUGUAUAUCAAACUGUUACAUAAAGUCAAUACUUUGGAAAGAAGCAGACAAUAAAUACUCUGCAAGAGGCAAUAUUUCUAUCAAAGAGAAAGCAAUCACAUAAAGAUUAGGAGACCAAUUUCAAUACUGAAUGUCAGUCUGCUGUAAGGAGACAUUUAUUGUUUCUCUGAAUUAUCACAGAGGAGCGAGAUAGCUGUAACACUGUGCUGAGCCGAGCUGGUCACGCUAUUAAGUUAGAAAUACUCUUUCACCUUUUAAAAACCAUUUUUCUGCUUUGCAAAUAUAAGGGCAUCCUCUCUCAGGGCAAAGGGAGGAGCAGCACAGCCACAGCUGCCAGUGCCUCCCAGUGCCCUGCGGUCACAGCUCUGCUUUGGCCUGCAAUGUGGUCUCCUUUAAUGGGAUUCUCUCAGCUCCUUAUGCUACAGGGGCCAUGCUAAAACUGCAUUUCCAUGUUAACACUGCCCUGUAAUUAGCACCACUGGAUCAGAACUGGUAAUAACACUGUCUGCAUUACGCUGUUAAUUACAUUAGUUCUGCCACACAAACCAUGAUGCAGUGCCGAAUGCUCUCCGCUACUUUGAACUGUUGAGAACCUGCCUCUGAUUUUCCCUCUGGCAAGUCCCAGCAGAUUGUGUAUCUGCUCUCCAAUUGACACAGAAUGUUUAUUAUUACAAAAAAGGAGAAAACAAGAAUAUUCAAGAUUUGUUUUCAGACACAGCUUCUGCAGCACAAUCUGGAAACCUCCGAAUUUCCACUUACUUUGCAGUUUGACUACUUUUUGUUAUGGAAUAAGUUACACCAGGAGCAGCCCUGUGCAAAGCCCCAUGCACAGCUCCACACACAGCCGGGCCUCCCUCUGCUUCCUCAAGCAGCAUUCCCUUCCCCUCUGCCCCAGCAGCUCCUCUGCAGCGUGCACUGGAAGCACCUCCAGCUGCCACAGCACUGCCGAUGGCCCCGGGGCUCUGGGUACAAGGAUUGGGAACACAGCCCCCCUCCCCAUCCUGUGGGCAGCACUGGGAGCAGAGCCGGUCCCCAGUGCCACCUUCUUUCCAUCAUUAUCUCCCUUAAAAGGCAGAAAUUGAAAAUGAGAUGCAGAGCCAGUGGCCCCUUUUGAGCUAUGGUUAUUAGCUAUGGUGAGGAUGAAAGCAGCAUGACUCCCUAGAUAAAUACACAGUUCAUUAAAAGUGCUCUGGAUCACUGUAUUCUCCUGAUCAAAAGCCUAAAUCACACGGCUGUGACAUUAAGGAGCUGUGCUGUAUGCGGAGUUGAAACAGGACAGAGCCCGCAUGCCAAGAAGGGACAGAGGGGUGGUGGGAGCACAAGGCUGUGCAGAGCACAGUGCCCAGCACUGCAGAGGCAGCAGGGAAUUUCUGACACGCUGAACGUGCAGAGGCCCCACAGCACACAGCCACGCUGUGCAGGUGCUGCUCUCCCCACUACACCCAUCCCGGACCGCAUGGCAGAAGCGCAGCACCCGCAGGACAGCACCUGGGGAGCACAGCUGCGGAGCACCCAGCACCCCCUGCACCAAUGCCAACUGCAGCAGAGCCUAUCUGUCCACUACUUCAUUCUGAAAGGUCAAAGUGAUCUUCAACACGACGUCAGGGCACGUGGCUCAGCUGAUCUGCAGUGCUGCAGCCACAUUCGUUACCAGGACAGCGUGAGGGAGCCCGGCGCCACUGGGUACUGCUAAACUAAGGCACCUGCACUGCACUAACAGUGCCAUUUGCUGGGGACUGCCCAUGCUUUUCAUUUUCCUGGGCAGGUGCUCAUGGAAAGGAGCGUGCAGAGCCAGGCCAGCAUGGCAGCCCUGGGCUGAGGAGCAGCACCAGUGCAAGCCCUGGGCCAUGUCCCUGCAUGCACCACUGCUCUGCAGAGCUCUACUCGGCUGCAGCAGAAGAGCUUCAGGCUGCCCUUCCUCCUCGUCCCUCUCAGGGAGCUCUCAUCUCAGCACUGACAAAUUGAACACGGCACUCCUGUGACUAAGAUGGAUGGCGGGUAUAAGUGAUACCCAUGGAACAAAUGGCUGAUCUGUGUAUUCUUCCAUUCAGGAUUAGGCUAAUAAGAUGUUCAUUUAUGGAUCUAUUACUCAGUCAUUUAACUGCCUGAAAUAGGAGGAGCAGGCGAGUUCCACUAUCCAGGCAUUGAUUUCCAUCUUCUCAGACUACAUUCUAGUGGGGGGUUUGCUAAGGUAAUUUAGCAGGACAGAUCCAAACCCUCAUUAAGCAGACACAGCGCUUCAAGACACAUCAGAGGAGCCGGAGAUGUCUGAAAGAUUAUGGCAGCUGUGUUCCUCCCCAUGUUUUCCCCCUCUCCCAUGUUAUCCUACAGAUGCAGUGAGCACUCACACUGCUCCAGAGAGAGGGAAGUGGACCAGAUGGAAAACUCAGCUGGGCUGUGCUGGGGACUGGCAGCCAGUGGUGUGCAGGAUGGCACCAUGGGGCUGUACUAGCACCAGCUCAGCUCUAUGCCCCACAGGUACUACUCCACGCACAGCCUAUGCUGCUGCCAGCAUGGCUCAGCCCUGGGCUGCAUUUUCCAUGUGCCUACAGCACCAGGGCCAAGUGGGUGGACCGGCUGUGCCAGCAGGGCCGAGAGCAGCUGCUGCCCUGCUCCCACCAAGUGCUAUGGGCAGCCCUGCUGCCAGCUGCCCACCUCUCCCUGCUCCCAGGGCCCCAGGCUGCAGCUCACCAGUGCUGCCCUACACAGCCCGUUCUGUUCCACCACUUCCAAAAUGAGUGCAGAUCACUGAGCUGUGAACUCAUAUAAAGCUCAGCCCCAUGUUAAUUUUUCUCUUUUGCAUAAUGCAUUUACGAGUGUAUCUAUUUUUUCAUUGCAGAAUAACAUCCCUCUUGUGUAGCCUGGCAUCUCUGUGCUGUGCUGAGGGUCCACGUGAGCUCCGCACUGACCGCAGGAAGCACCAAACAGAGGGACGCCAGCACAGUGUGCACAGCCACGCACCACCCAUCACCAAACACAGGGUUUGCUCUCACCAGCAGGCAGACACUCCCAGCCCACAGCUGGGCACAUAGCCCUGCUUGUUUAACUCCGUGUAAAUGGCACUCUAAUAUUCCCCUUAACUGCUGCACUUAGACAGCUUCUCCCUGUAGCUGUUAAUCAUAUUAAAAGGUAUUGGAUACAUAAUUUCCUUUAAUUAUAUAAAAUAUUGGUGGCUUCCUUCCUUUGGAGCGCUACGCACAGAGCACAUUUCAGACGGCAGUCAGAGAGCUCGUAAUUGUUGAUUUACACCCUAAUUGGAAGACACCUGCUUUCUUUUUUCUGUUGAUUUUUACUUUGAGUCCAAAAUUAUUCCGCAUGUGUCAUCAUUACAUUCAUCAAUACGCGUUUUGUCUUCCACAGAUCCGCCUAAUUGCCUUUCUCAUUCAGACAACCCUGGAGUUAUUUGCUAAUGAACACCGUCGCAGCACAGCAUUCACACACAGCGCUGCCAGCAGGUGGAGAAGUGGGGAAAGGUGCUGAGCCCCUGCAGGGCCGGAGCCCUCCCAGCCAACGUGCACCGCUCCCACUGGAGGCUGCGGCCAACACCGCACGGCACCCGCAGGAAGGGCCUGAAAGGACAAAUGGAGGGAGAGGACAUCGGUGGCAGUGAUAAAAAGAAAGUUUAAAGCUCGCAUUUAGAUAAAUUGACUGGAAAAUUUGAUCCACACCGUCUUUCAAAUACGAUUAUACAAACAGAAUUUGCCUAAAUAUUGUAAUUAAAAUUCUGCCUAUAGCAUAAUAAAAGAGGGAAAAUAGUAUUAAAUGAUCAAGGCAUUUGAAUGUCUGAAAUAUCACCGUGUGAUGUUUCAUGCUAUCCACUAAAUAAGUAAUUUACUGCAAAACCUAUCAAAGCAAAAGGAAAUUAAGUCAGAUAAGGCUGCCUUUUAUUUUGCAGUUCAGUUUUGCAGAGGAUGCCAUCACUUUCAGAGCACGUUUGAUUUCUUUCAAGGAAAAAGCUCCAAGCAAUUCAGCACAGGCCCUGCAACAUGCAGGGUGCAGCAGCUCCAGCAGUGGGUGCUGGCCACCAACAGCUCCCAUCCGGGCAGGACAGGGCAGGGCUGGCUCCACCAUACACCAACAUCCCCACCUCCAGCCCACAGGCCAUGCAGUAUCGCUCCCAAUGGCAUUUGCACCACAGAACAUUUGCGGCAUCAAUAAAAUCCUGGCUCAUCAGCACAAAUAGAAUUUUAAAUGGAAUUCUUAUCAAAUCAGCCUCCCAUCAAGAUCGCACGAUGUCGCGCACACAACCUUUUCAGAAGCUGUGUACAUGACUGCUGCGGGAGGUGCAAGCAAGACAAGCUCCAAUGAGACCGCUCGACUGAUGCAGCGCAACAGGCGGCGGCGUGGGGCUCAGCACCGUUUGGGCGGUGGGUGCUCGGCAGGAUGUGAGCACACUGCCAGCAGUGCAGGAGCAAAGCACAGCCCAGGUGUGCGACACAGACAUGGCACGGCCCUGUGCGUCCCUCCCCACCUGCAGUGUGCAGAGCAAACUGCACGGCACAGCUGUCUGAAGGAGCGCAGCCCCAACAGCAGCACGGGUGCCUGUGUGACAACCCCGAGAAAUAUUUCUGCAAACACAAUAGAAGAGAUAAUGGUAAUUAGGCCAGCGUUUUGUGCCAUAAUGUUCUUGAAUGCCUACAAAAAUACAAUAUUUUCAGCAAAAGAUAAUUGAAAAGAUUAUUUGCCUUAUCUAAAAUAAGUUUUUUCCAGCCUCAGCACAUCUGUUUCCAGAAUCCUCACAGACGUUUGCUGCAAUGCCACUCAGUGCUGUUUGUUACUGUGAGAAGGGCUGAACAAAAGCCCCGCUGUGUUGGUUCUGUUUGGGUCCCUCUGCAGGACAUGGUCCAGUGUUGGCACCAGCCUACAGAUGGAUGGGGACAACACAGCAUGGCUCACAUGCGCAGCUCCCUGCACAUACCCUCAGGCAGUCGCUGCCACCAGGUUACGUGCACCAGGUUCCUCAUGGGACACCUUCAGCGCAGCACGCGAGGUGUGAGCUCAGACACCGCUGGUGUUAACCCCGCACACCAACCAUGCUGACCGUCUGCUUACAGAGCUGACAGGGGAGCAAACUUCUGCAGGGGCUCCAGGUGACACUUCACAUUCUGAACAUUUUUCCUUUUGCAAAGAGAAAUCACCUUCUGAAAUUACAAGCAAAUAAAGCGGACUUCCCAGAAAGGGGCAAUUUCUGUGAUCUUUAAUUGCUUUAUUCCUCAUAAGGGAAGAGAAUGAUCAGUGGUUGAGGGAAAAAAAGCCAUGCCAGAAAUGGAUUUCUGCAUUUCUCCCUUUUACUCAUCGAUGGGAGAAGAGCAAUGGGGCAGACAUGGCACUAAUUCUUGUUGUAAACUACUCUGGGAACGUAUUUUGCUCAGAGCCAUUAGCAGAGAAACACAUUAACAGGAAGAGCCAACAGUACGGCACAGUCCAAAUGUACAUAAAGGUCUCAGUCCUUUAUAGCAGCACAUAUUCUCCACAUUUCUCACCUCUCCUUAUGAGAGGCUGAAUGAGUUCAUGCCUCUCCAGGCCUUUGGAACCUCUCAGGAGGGUCCCCAGGGAUGGCUCCUGGGCUGAGCCCUCCAUGCAGCACCCACUCUGCAGACACCAACUGUGCCCAUCUCCGGCCAUGCAGGUAAAUUUUGCUCUUAAUUAAACAAACGCCACAACGACAUCUGGGAAUUGGCAGCUGCAGUCUGACCAAAUAAGCAUUAUACCUCUGUUAAUUAAAAGAAAAACCCUUACAAUUUCCCUAAUGAAAUUUCCACUCGGAUAAGAUGGAACAGUAUAAAUUUGUAAAGCAAGAAAUAACCCAGGAAGAUCAGCAAAUCUGCCAAUGUAUCUUUCUUGUGGAAAAAAUACUUAAGCUAACAAGGAAAGAUGAAGCUGUAGACGUUGCAAAAGAAAAUCAACAUUGACUGAUUUUCAGCUUGGCUCUGCAGCUGCUCCUACAUAGCAACUGGGAAAAUGCAUCCAGGCUUCCCUUACUCAUUUGUCCCUAUGCUGUCCCUCCCAAAGUGACCCUCACAGCGCCUUCCACACCAG
This 27057-nucleotide long non-coding RNA is filed under the name Gallus gallus (chicken). RNAcentral describes it as "lncRNA (ENSGALG00010029817.1)". Lineage: Eukaryota; Metazoa; Chordata; Aves; Galliformes; Phasianidae. The record is from RNAcentral.